RNAcentral lists this ribosomal RNA (271 nucleotides) under uncultured bacterium. Its description in RNAcentral is "partial 16S ribosomal RNA". It matches the Rfam family "Bacterial small subunit ribosomal RNA", at positions 524 to 794 of the family's 1533-position model. The record is from RNAcentral.
UACGGAGGGUGCGAGCGUUAAUCGGAAUUACUGGGCGUAAAGCGCACGUAGGUGGUUCGUUAAGUCGGAUGUGAAAUCCCUGGGCUCAACCUGGGAGCUGCAUUCGAUACUGGCGGACUCGAGUACGAGAGAGGGGGGUGGAAUUCCAGGUGUAGCGGUGAAAUGCGUAGAUAUCUGGAGGAACACCGGUGGCGAAGGCGCCCACCUGGCCUGCUACUGACGCUGAGGCGCGAAAGCUAGGGGAGCAAACGGGAUUAGAAACCCGAGUAGU